RNAcentral lists this ribosomal RNA (776 nucleotides) under Gammarus balcanicus. Its description in RNAcentral is "eukaryotic LSU rRNA". It matches the Rfam family "Eukaryotic large subunit ribosomal RNA", at positions 157 to 623 of the family's 3401-position model. Lineage: Eukaryota; Metazoa; Arthropoda; Malacostraca; Amphipoda; Gammaridae. The record is from RNAcentral.
UAAGUCAGCCACGAAUAGGCUAUCCCAACUAACGGCGGGAAAGACUCCACGGAGGGUGUAAGACCCGUGUGGGCGCGUGUCAAAGCUGUGCGGGCUCGGCCUCUAUUCCCUGAGAGUCGCGUUGCUUGAGCAUGCAGCGCUAAGCAGGUCGUAAACUCGAUCUAAGGCUAAAUAUCUCCACAGAACCGAUAGCGAACAAGUACCGUGAGGGAAAGUUGAAAAGCACUCUGGAGAGAGAGUCAAAAGACCGUGAAACCGCUCAGAGUAUAAGCCCAUGGCAGCUUGGAAGGCAUAUCGAAAGCGGGGCAUCGUUCUGCCUUCGCGGGCGGUCGGUGUUACCUUGCUUCUGUUGUGGCUCGUCAUGGUAGGGGGGUCAGGUCCACAUCCCGCCGUCGUGUGGGGGGUUCUCGGGUGUGUUGUGGUUUCUCGGUUGGCUUCGGCUGGUCGGGGGGCCCUUCGUGCUUGGUUCCUCUUUUGACACGGACGUUCAGACUCAGAGGCAAGACGCGAUAAACAGCCCACCACGGCACGUUGUGAGGUCACCCACAGGCUCGACUUUCGAUCGCGAGCCUUGACGCCGAGCAAGCACUAUGCGUGUCGCUGAGGUUCCUAACCAGGCAAAGGUGCCAGGAUCGUGGAACGACACGCGCUCAACAGUCAGGUUCGGGCGGAGACAGAGUACUGGUACGAUCCUCUUGCGACGAGCCGGCUUCUGGCCGACAUCCGAUGCUCAGGUCUCCCGCAUGUGCCGCGGGAGAUCGCCUUGACGGUCUGGA